CUCUGGUAUUGAUUGGUGCUUGCAUCAUGAUUUACAUUUGAGUGAGUGGCGAACUGGUGAGUAACACGUGGGAAACCUGCCCAGAAGCGGGGGAUAACACCUGGAAACAGAUGCUAAUACCGCAUAACAACUUGGACCGCAUGGUCCGAGCUUGAAAGAUGGCUUCGGCUAUCACUUUUGGAUGGUCCCGCGGCGUAUUAGCUAGAUGGUGGGGUAACGGCUCACCAUGGCAAUGAUACGUAGCCGACCUGAGAGGGUAAUCGGCCACAUUGGGACUGAGACACGGCCCAAACUCCUACGGGAGGCAGCAGUAGGGAAUCUUCCACAAUGGACGAAAGUCUGAUGGAGCAACGCCGCGUGAGUGAAGAAGGGUUUCGGCUCGUAAAACUCUGUUGUUAAAGAAGAACAUAUCUGAGAGUAACUGUUCAGGUAUUGACGGUAUUUAACCAGAAAGCCACGGCUAACUACGUGCCAGCAGCCGCGGUAAUACGUAGGUGGCAAGCGUUGUCCGGAUUUAUUGGGCGUAAAGCGAGCGCAGGCGGUUUUUUAAGUCUGAUGUGAAAGCCUUCGGCUCAACCGAAGAAGUGCAUC
RNAcentral lists this ribosomal RNA (591 nucleotides) under Lactiplantibacillus plantarum. RNAcentral's name for it is "bacterial SSU rRNA". It matches the Rfam family "Bacterial small subunit ribosomal RNA", at positions 70 to 627 of the family's 1533-position model. Lineage: Bacteria; Bacillati; Bacillota; Bacilli; Lactobacillales; Lactobacillaceae. The record is from RNAcentral.